GGUGACGUGUCCGAGCGGCCGAAGGUGCAGCACUCGAAAUGCUGUGUAGUUAAUAGCUACCGAGGGUUCAAAUCCCUCCGUCACCGCCA
This 89-nucleotide transfer RNA is filed under the name Arcanobacterium hippocoleae. RNAcentral describes it as "tRNA-Ser". It matches the Rfam family "tRNA". From Rfam's summary of the family: Transfer RNA (tRNA) molecules are approximately 80 nucleotides in length. The record is from RNAcentral. Lineage: Bacteria; Bacillati; Actinomycetota; Actinomycetes; Actinomycetales; Actinomycetaceae.